AUUGGACGCUGGCGGCAGGCCUAACACAUGCAAGUCGAACGGUAACAGGAAACAGCUUGCUGUUUCGCUGACGAGUGGCGGACGGGUGAGUAAUGUCUGGGAAACUGCCUGAUGGAGGGGGAUAACUACUGGAAACGGUAGCUAAUACCGCAUAACGUCGCAAGACCAAAGAGGGGGACCUUCGGGCCUCUUGCCAUCGGAUGUGCCCAGAUGGGAUUAGCUAGUAGGUGGGGUAACGGCUCACCUAGGCGACGAUCCCUAGCUGGUCUGAGAGGAUGACCAGCCACACUGGAACUGAGACACGGUCCAGACUCCUACGGGAGGCAGCAGUGGGGAAUAUUGCACAAUGGGCGCAAGCCUGAUGCAGCCAUGCCGCGUGUAUGAAGAAGGCCUUCGGGUUGUAAAGUACUUUCAGCGGGGAGGAAGGGAGUAAAGUUAAUACCUUUGCUCAUUGACGUUACCCGCAGAAGAAGCACCGGCUAACUCCGUG
This 490-nucleotide ribosomal RNA is filed under the name uncultured bacterium. RNAcentral describes it as "partial 16S ribosomal RNA". It matches the Rfam family "Bacterial small subunit ribosomal RNA", at positions 30 to 507 of the family's 1533-position model. The record is from RNAcentral.